CAAUGUUGUCCUUUGUGGUCAGGACACGUAUGGGUCUCGGCGGAAGGUGAUCUCUGCGCUCCUAAUCCUCACCAUGCCAGUGCUAACAGGGACCAGGAGAUGAGCAGAGGAGAGGAGAGGGGGGGCCUCUCCAGCUGGGAUUCGGUCAGCAUUCCCUAACAGUCCUUAACUUUGACUGACAGUAAGUUAAUGAAACAAGAAAUUAGCUGAUACAGAGCGGACAGUGUCCUCUGAUGGUGAAAUGGGGAAUUUGCAUAUGAGGGAAAGGCCAAUUUGGAAAGUGAAUCGAACAUGUAAAUGUGAAAUACUUUUUAGACUCUUCUGGAACAGUGCUUUGUGUACCGCAUAGAAUCUGCUUUGUUUCCAGUGAAAUUACGGUGACAGUCUGUGACAAUAAUGGGCAUCUGAACAAUUCAAAGUGGGGAAAAAAAAAAAUGUUUCUAUCUAAAGUGCAUGAAAGUCUUCGGUGGAACCAAAAAAUAAAUGGUGACAUCAUCUCAUUCAGAGCCAGUUUCAGUAAAAAUCUAAAUAAAACAAGUGUGACCCCUUCCUGCGUGACUCACUGUGGUGGAUAACUCAAACAGUGCGCACUGAAAUCAUGGCGAGACGAGUCCAUUCUCUGCUGAAUGCUGAAUGCUGAAUGCUAACGCAGCAGGAAGAUGAGAUUCAUUACUCACACAGGGCCAUAAAGCUUGAAAGCUUUUUAUUUCAACCAUGGAAGCUGCAGGAAAGAACAGAAUUUUUCAUUUAGAGAGAAAAAAAUACAUUUAUGCCAAAAGAUGUUUUUUUUUUCCUGAUCCCAUCCCUGAAUCCUACAUUAAAGGUAGUGAUGCAGCAAUGGCUGAUUGGAACAAUGUGCACUUUAGCCUUGGCACGCAUUCCAUCGAACACUCCUUUUAUAUCUAUGGUGCCAAUUUUAACUCUACAGUUCUGUUCCACUCUCAAGCACAUCUUUGCUCUCACUGGUAAUAUGGGUAAUAUGAUGCUUUAUGUUCUGAAUGUAUAUACUGAACAGUGUUUUCUUUAUGUUACCCGAAUAUAGAAAGGGAUAUAUGAGAUCAAUCAUGAUAAAAGUAUAACUGAGUGUGGGUUCCCUGAAUUAGCCUCUGAUUCUUUAAAAAAUAAAAUAAAAAAAUAAAAAAAACGGGUUAAAAUGUUAAUGGAAAAAUGUAAAGUGUCAGUAUUUAAUUAUCUUCUUGAUUUUGAAUGAGCUACAUUUUUAGCCAGCAGAUGAUUUUCUAAAAAUGGCAACACAAAUCAAAUACAAGCUUUUCAUUAUGUUAAGUACAUUUACGGUGGCGCUUUGCUAAUCUUUGUCUCAGCCAGUUGAGUCUUGAUGAAAUGUCGCUCGCUCAGUUCACAUUCGUGAAGAGGGAACUGUGAACACAGGCGUGCUGGUCCUCUGCUUGGGUAAAGGCUGGAGAGAUGUCUGGACGCAGGGGCUACGUAACCUUGUUAAGAGAACUCGGAACUGGUCUGAGGUUAUUUGCAAUUAUAAUAAUAAGCUUUAUUUAUAUAGCACCGUAGGUCAUUAUUAUGUCAUUUAUUUCCACAGGGUUGUGAGGAUAUUCAGGUAGAGUUGUAGAUUUGGGAAGCUGUGUGUCUGGAGCUGUGUAUGUUGGGAAGAUGACAGCCAUUUUUAGCUUUAGAGCUGUAUUUCGAAGGCUUCAGUUUUCUGGGCUGAAAAGAUCGAAUCAGAAGAAGCCACUAAUUUGAAACAAUGAUUUUUUUAAAUGAUUUGUUUCAAGUUGCCCCCCAAAGCUUAUAUUUAAAAAGAACUCCAGGCAAUACAUAAAAACCGGGAAAAUCCAGGGAUGCAUUUGAUUGGUUUUGCUUAGCCUACAAAGCUCAAGUCUUGAGGUGGGGGGGGGGGGGAUUUUGUGGUGAGGUCAUCUGGUUCAGCUCCUUUCCCUGGGGUGCAUUUUCAAGUGGAAUUUUCCAGAAAGCUCUAUGUUCAAUUAAUCAUCCAAUUGCAUCUAAGUGUUCAAUAAUAACUGGCAGGUUGAUAGUAUUAUGAUUCUGAUUAUUUAUUUUCCAUAAUAUUCCCAAUCCCAUGUUAUCCGAAGAUAAAUUAAAAGAGGAACAUAUAUGUAUUUUUGUGUUAAUUGAGGGGUAUAUUGUGACCAAUAAAGCAAGCCCUUCUGAAUCUCAAACUGCUGAUUUAUUCUGAUCUAGAUUACCUAAUAAAAUCGCACUUGUCUGAAAUGCCAUGGAUCAGGACGUCUACAGAUUUCCCACUCAGAACCCCGGAGCCAAACUUUGUUACUGUCUGUGUGUGAUCUUCAACCAGUCCCCCAAACUGUAUGUAUGGUGACCGAAUGAGUCGUUUUUGAUACUGUAAUGCACAGACCAGAGGAAGGAGCAUUUCCUGAUGCCCUCCUGGCCCUUAUGCAAUGAGGUACCCUGACUGCACACUGACCGAGCAGGCCAAUCGGCCACUGCAUUAGAUGGCUUAUAGCCUUUGCAGAUACAGUAUAUUACCGUGGUUUAGUGCAUGGCCAUCGCCGGACACGGUUAUCAGGUCCGUCACUGGACUGGAAAGGCUAUAUUUGUCGGUCUGACGGUCUUUGGAAUAGCAAACCAGUGAUCUGGAUCCUCAACGCUGUGUCAGCAAAGGAGCAGAGCUGCAAGCUAAUGAAGUUUCUUUCCGUGAGCUGCACACCAGUUUCACGCCUGUUAGGCAUUGGUUACGUGAGAAUCAACCGGCAGUGAUUACAUCAUAUGAGAGAAAAAAAACUCCCCCCUGCAAUUAAAUCACAAUUCAUUCCAACAGAACUGCUAGCAAAGAGAACACUGAGAAACAACACAACGAGACGUUCAGCUCCUUGAUCAUAAUGCAGAUAAUUAUCGCAAUGGAUAUUAUGGUCUGGAGGCAAACCUCGGGGGCCUAAUCUGCGAGCAUCUGAGGAAGCAUUAAACUCAUGAUUACAUUACAUUAUAUAGACAAAUCAAUAUCCGCCCCUCUUAGUAUCAUCCCAUUAACCAGGUAUGAUUGCAAUCGCUCACACAUUCAUAUUAAUUGAUGCAUUUAGAUUCCAUUUGUCCACUGUGCAUCUACUCUGAAUACGUCUGUAUGAAAUUCAAGUAUCAGUAUGGCAUACUGGAAAGUAUGUUUAAGGUCAGGCAUUGAAAGGCGUGCCUUGUCUCUGAUUGACAUGAAUGAAUACCCUGGUGAAAGCGGUACGUUUCCAAAGAACAGGACUGAUUGGACUAAUGACCUCUAAUUUGCUUAUGUUUUGUGCAUCAGGGUGCUUCAUUGUUGAGAAAUGGCUUCCUGUCCAUGCGGGAUCAUUUUUUGUAUUUGAUUUGUGCACAAAUGUGUCUGUUAAUGCACUUGUGAAAUUUAAAUUGAAAAGGAUCUUCUUCCCUUAAAUUAUAUCAGUGUCCAGUGCUCUCAUUACAAUAGCAAUGUUUGGCCCCGUCCAAAACAUCAGGCUAAUUUAAUUUCAAGGAGCCCAAACUCCCUUUAUUCUAGUCUGUCGAUGUCAGUCCCCUCCCCUUAAAGCUUUUCCUUGUUAUUGACUGAAUGUCCAGCAAGGCCACCCUGUGUUCGGUGACAUUGUAAAAACGUAUUGAUCGGAGCUGUGUGCCCUUUCUUGGGUGACACGCAUC
Molecule: long non-coding RNA, 3612 nt
Organism: Anguilla rostrata (American eel)
Lineage: Eukaryota; Metazoa; Chordata; Actinopteri; Anguilliformes; Anguillidae
Exons: 3
Source: RefSeq, a predicted model, not a curated record